UUGAUACGACUCUUCGUCUUAUUUAAAAACUUUUUAUGAUUAAUAUUUUUAUUAUUGUUAGAUGAUAAAGCAUGAAUAGUAAUUUAUGCAUGACUAUUUUGUAAAACAAUUUUUAUAAUUUUUUUAAAUAAGACGAACGGUCAAACGUUCGAGACAGAAACCGA
This is a non-coding RNA of Oryza barthii, 164 nucleotides long. Lineage: Eukaryota; Viridiplantae; Streptophyta; Magnoliopsida; Poales; Poaceae. The record is from Rfam.